Molecule: long non-coding RNA, 2566 nt
Filed under: Cucumis sativus (cucumber)
Lineage: Eukaryota; Viridiplantae; Streptophyta; Magnoliopsida; Cucurbitales; Cucurbitaceae
Description: long non-coding RNA (CSAT_LNC000308)
Source: RNAcentral
UGGAAUAUUAGGUGUUGAGAUUUGGCAAUUGAAUUGCAUGCAUUUUUGCAUGUAAUUAGGCUAUAAAUAGAGAUGUUUUCAAAUGUUGAAGGACUUUUGCCUCUUUUAUCAUUUUCAUAAUCUCAACAAAAGAAAAAAGAAAGCUUCCAAUCUCAUUUUAUCUCCAUUACUUUCUACACCAAAAUUGGGUCCCACAACCCGGUUCUUUGUCUAGAGGAUAGCAGUUGAGUACUAGUGGUGGUCUCGGGUAGAAUUGGUAAGAAGACAUCAAACCUUUUGAAAGCUUCAAAGGUAAUACUUCUUAAAACCCUAAUUUGAUUAGUUUAUGGUUAGAUGUUAAUUGUGGCAAUUAGGGUAGAAAUUCGAUUCUUUUUCCGCUGUGCAUGAAUUAGUUCUAUCAAUAUAUAUAUAUAAAAAGAAAAAUAUUAGGAUUCAAUCCCAACUCCUAGCUCAAUCUCAACUCCUAAGAUUUGUUGGUUUGUUGAGAAGUAGAAGGAGAAGUUGGUGAUGGAUGCAUUUCUUACCCUAUAAAUAGAUAACAAAGUUGAGAGCAAAAAUCAUUCCCUUCUUCAUCAUCACUUUUUGGCUUUCAAAAGUUUUUCGAAUUUUCUUUUUUAUGAAUGGUAGCAACUCAAAGAAAAGAAGAUUUUUUUUUUUUUAAUUCAAGUUAUUUUCACUUUACUAUUUUUUAUAUAUAUAUUUUUUCAUAUGUAUUUUCUUUUCUUUUUUCAUUUUCUUUUUCCCUUUUUUUUAACUGACUUUCACUUUGGCCAUUUUUUUUCAGUCAUUCCUUGAAGGCUCUAUGCAAGUAUCUUGGCUUCAUGGGUUUGUACAUGAUAGACGAUGCAACUCUAUCAUGGCGUCUAUACAACUCUAUCAUGGCGUCUACUGUUUCUUCGGGUUCUGCUUCUUGGGUUUGUACAUGAUAGACAAUGCAACUCUAUCAUGGCGCCCACUGCUGUUGCGACUUUUUGGGUUUGUACAUGAUAGACGAUGCAACUUUAUCAUGGCGCUCAUUGCACAUAUUGGGUUUGUACAUGAUAGACGAUGCAACUCUAUAAUGGCGCCCACUGUUGCUGCGACUUCUUGGAUUUGUACAUGAUAGACGAUGCAACUCUAUCAUGGCGCCCAUUGUUGCUGUGACUUCUUGGGUUUGUACAUGAUAGACGAUGCAACUCUAUCAUGGCGCCCACUAUUUCUUCGGCUUCUGCUUCUUGGGUUUGUACAUGAUAGACGAUGCAACUCUAUCAUGGCGCCCACUGCUGCUGCGACUUUUUGGGUUUGUACAUGAUAAACGAUGCAACUCUAUCAUGGCGCCCAUUGCUGCUAUGACCUCUUGGGUUUGUACAUGAUAGACGAUGCAACUCUAUCUUGGCGCCCACUAUUUCUUCGGCUUCUGCUUCUUGGGUUUGUACAUGAUAGACGAUGCAACUCUAUCAUCGCGCUCAUUGCUGCUGUGACUUCUUGGGUUUGUACACGAUAGACGAUGCAACUCUAUCAUGGCGCCCACUACUUCUUCGACUUUUUGGGUUUGUACAUGAUAGACGAUGCAACUCUAUCAUGGCGUCCAUUGCUGCUGUGACUUCUUGGGUUUGUACAUGAUAGACGAUGCAACUCUAUCAUGGCGUCCACUGCUGCUGCGACUUCUUGGGUUUGUACAUGAUAGACGAUGCAACUCUAUCAUAGCGCCCAUUGCUGCUGUGACAUCUUCGGUUUGUACAUGAUAGACGAUGCAACUCUAUCAUGACGCCUAUUGCUUCUUCGACUUUUUGGAUUUAUACAUGAUAGACGAUCCAACUCUAUCAUGGCGCCUACUGCUGCUGCGACUUCUUGCGUUUGUACAUGAUAAACGAUGCAACUCUAUCAUGACGCACAUUGUUGUUGUAACACGUCGAAGAAGAUGAAGAUAAAUUCUCCCGGCUGCAACAUAUGUGAGAAUGAAGAUGAUGAUAGUUGCUGCAACACGUCGAAGAUGCUGAUGAUGACGGCUGCUGCAACAGAUCGAAGAAGAUGAAGAUAAAUCCUCUCGGCUACAAUACAUCGAAGAAGAUGAAGAUGAAUCCUCUCGACUGCAGCAUAUGUGAGAAUGAAUAUGAAUUCUCUCGACUGUAACACCUAAGAGAAAAUGAAGAUGAUGACAGCUAUUGUAACACGUCGAAGAUGCAGAUGAUGACGGCUGCUACAACACGUCAAAGAAGAUGGAGAUGAAUCCUCUCAGCUGCCACAUAUGUGAAAAGAUGAAGAUCCUCUCGACUGUAACACGUGGGAAGACGAAGAUGAGGAUAGCUGCUGCAACACGUUGAAAAUGCAGAUGAUGACAACUGCUGCAACAUGUGAGAGAAGAAGAUGCUCCACUCUCAGCCACAACACUUGAGGAAAAGCUAGAGCUUACUAAUUUGACUUUGCCCCCUUUCUUUUCUGUUGUAACUCCUCAUGAAUUUCAUUUUCUAUUGAGAUUACAUCAUCGCGGCGAAACAUAAUACCUUUUUUUUUUCGUUCGACUGAACUCAAAGUAAACUUUAAGUUGCCUACGUACCCUUUUUUUAUAACAUAAAGAUGAAGUCAU